Leptonychotes weddellii (Weddell seal) is the source of this 537-nucleotide non-coding RNA. The record is from RefSeq and is a predicted model, not a curated record. NCBI's taxonomy places the organism in Eukaryota, Metazoa, Chordata, Mammalia, Carnivora, Phocidae.
CCUACCUGGUGUCCUGGAGGGAGUGUCUGAGAAGGCAGUGGGAUGACCUCCUGGUGGGCUAAUGUAUCCAUUUAUUCAAGCAACGUAUUUGGAGCACUGUGUCUGCCAGGUGCUAGCUGGGAUGGCCCUCAGAGGUGAGGAAGAUUUGCCUGGAAGAUUCCACCUCGGAGAUGGUCACAGCUCCAGGGGUCUGCAGUGCCUGUGAGGGCUCCUGGGCUUCUCAGCCAUGCCUCGAGAACCACUGCCUUCAGCUGCUUUGGUCCAGAGCGAUGCUGGCAGAUGAGGUCAGAAAGUGACUGAAGUCUAGGACACGUUCUCUAAAGCUGGUAUAUCCUGCAAGCAGUCGUCAGUAGAGCCUGAAGCGGCUUACCUGAUCCGAUCCGAUCCGAUCCGCACUGACUGCAGAACAGCCCGGCUGGCCGAUGCUAGGCCCUGGAGGGCCUGCUGCUUCCUGCAGGGACCCGGGCGGCCCAGGAGGGCAGUUCUCAGGAGCAGCUAUGGGUGAGGCUGGCGAGACGCCGCCACUGUUUCCUUGAC